Molecule: long non-coding RNA, 432 nt
Filed under: Carica papaya (papaya)
Lineage: Eukaryota; Viridiplantae; Streptophyta; Magnoliopsida; Brassicales; Caricaceae
Description: long non-coding RNA (CPAP_LNC002034)
Source: RNAcentral
AGCUGACUUACCCUUGGAAGUCUAUGAGGUCUCUGUAGAUCCAUAAGUAUGAGUGCAUGACUGUUCCCACACUCUGAUGAGUCCAAUAGUAUAGUGAAAGAAGUGGCCCUUAUGUUUUGUUUUGUAUUUUGCAGCCAUUUUUGGCAUCAGUAUAUGUAUGUAUUGGAACUCAUAUAUAUAUAUUUGUAAGGGAUUUGUAAUGAUUUUGUUCUGCUGCAUAAAUUUUAGCAUGUAUUCGUUAUUCUGAAUCUGUAUCUGACACCCAUUUACCUUAAUUACCACUUGGGAUGUCACAUUAGGGCUGUUCACUCUGCAAAUAAUAAAUGUAGGUGCGGCAUUGACAACCCCUAAAGUGACACUUGUAGCAAACAAAGCAGACACAAGAUAUGAAUUCUAUAUUUUGGAUCUCUUGUACACCCUUUGCAAGUUUUU